This 253-nucleotide ribosomal RNA is filed under the name uncultured bacterium. RNAcentral describes it as "partial 16S ribosomal RNA". It matches the Rfam family "Bacterial small subunit ribosomal RNA", at positions 524 to 776 of the family's 1533-position model. The record is from RNAcentral.
UACGUAGGGUGCAAGCGUUAUCCGGAAUUAUUGGGCGUAAAGAGCUCGUAGGCGGUUUGUCGCGUCUGCUGUGAAAACUGGAGGCUCAACCUCCAGCCUGCAGUGGGUACGGGCAGACUAGAGUGCGGUAGGGGAGAUUGGAAUUCCUGGUGUAGCGGUGGAAUGCGCAGAUAUCAGGAGGAACACCGGUGGCGAAGGCAGAUCUCUGGGCCGUAACUGACGCUGAGGAGCGAAAGCAUGGGGAGCGAACAGG